AUUGAACGCUGGCGGCAGGCCUAACACAUGCAAGUCGAGCGGAUGAAGGGAGCUUGCUCCUGGAUUCAGCGGCGGACGGGUGAGUAAUGCCUAGGAAUCUGCCUGGUAGUGGGGGAUAACGUCCGGAAACGGGCGCUAAUACCGCAUACGUCCUGAGGGAGAAAGUGGGGGAUCUUCGGACCUCACGCUAUCAGAUGAGCCUAGGUCGGAUUAGCUAGUUGGUGGGGUCAAGGCCUACCAAGGCGACGAUCCGUAACUGGUCUGAGAGGAUGAUCAGUCACACUGGAACUGAGACACGGUCCAGACUCCCACGGGAGGCAGCAGUGGGGAAUAUUGGACAAUGGGCGAAAGCCUGAUCCAGCCAUGCCGCGUGUGUGAAGAAGGUCUUCGGAUUGUAAAGCACUUUAAGUUGGGAGGAAGGGCAGUAAGUUAAUACCUUGCUGUUUUGACGUUACCAACAGAAUAAGCACCGGCUAACUUCGUG
Molecule: ribosomal RNA, 484 nt
Filed under: uncultured bacterium
Lineage: Bacteria
Description: partial 16S ribosomal RNA
Rfam family: Bacterial small subunit ribosomal RNA
Source: RNAcentral